CCCUCUCUCACUAUUUCCCGCUUUCCAGAAGUAAAAAAAUAUCUAAGCUCACUGCAUUUUGUAUGAAGAUUGAAGUACGGUAGCUGCGCCUGCGCGGGUAUUAUCCUUGAGAGAGAGAGAGAGAGAUUCUACCUCAUAGAUGGAGAUUGCAUUAUACCUUUGAUUGAAUCAUUUGCUCAAAAGCUGGAGAUGUGAAAGGAUAAAACAGCAAAGCGAUAACAGGAAUUUCCGG
RNAcentral lists this long non-coding RNA (232 nucleotides) under Salvia miltiorrhiza (redroot sage). RNAcentral's name for it is "long non-coding RNA (SMIL_LNC005519)". Lineage: Eukaryota; Viridiplantae; Streptophyta; Magnoliopsida; Lamiales; Lamiaceae. The record is from RNAcentral.